CGUGUAGGCGGUUCUGUAAGUCGGACGUGAAAGCUCCUGGCUUAACUGGGAGAGGCCGUUCGAUACUGCAGGACUUGAGGUCGGGAGAGGGACGUGGAAUUCCCGGUGUAGUGGUGGAAUGCGUAGAUAUCGGGAGGAACACCAGUGGCGAAGGCGGCGUCCUGGCCCGCACCUGACGCUAAGACGCGAAAGCGUGGGUAGCGAACG
Molecule: ribosomal RNA, 207 nt
Filed under: uncultured bacterium
Lineage: Bacteria
Description: partial 16S ribosomal RNA
Rfam family: Bacterial small subunit ribosomal RNA
Source: RNAcentral